AGUGAACGCUGGCGGUAGGCCUAACACAUGCAAGUCGAACGGCAGCACAGUAAGAGCUUGCUCUUACGGGUGGCGAGUGGCGGACGGGUGAGGAAUACAUCGGAAUCUACUUUUUCGUGGGGGGUAACGUAGGGAAACUUACGCUAAUACCGCAUACGACCUACGGGUGAAAGCAGGGGAUCUUCGGACCUUGCGCGAUUGAAUGAGCCGAUGUCGGAUUAGCUAGUUGGCGGGGUAAAGGCCCACCAAGGCGACGAUCCGUAGCUGGUCUGAGAGGAUGAACACCCACACUGGAACUGAGACACGGUCCAGACUCCUACGGGAGGCAGCAGUGGGGAAUAUUGGACAAUGGGCGCAAGCCUGAUCCAGCCAUACCGCGUGGGUGAAGAAGGCCUUCGGGUUGUAAAGCCCUUUUGUUGGGAAAGAAAAGCAGCAGGUUAAUACCCCGCUGUUCUGACGGUACCCAAAGAAUAAGCACCGGCUAACUUCGUG
This 492-nucleotide ribosomal RNA is filed under the name uncultured bacterium. RNAcentral describes it as "partial 16S ribosomal RNA". It matches the Rfam family "Bacterial small subunit ribosomal RNA", at positions 29 to 507 of the family's 1533-position model. The record is from RNAcentral.